UUUCCGUAGGUGAACCUGCGGAAGGAUCAUUGUCAAAACCUUCUCAACAGAAGAGCGACCCGUGGACACGUUGAAUCGUCGGGCGGGGGAGGGCUCGCCCGCCCCCGCCGCCAAAGAACUCGGCGCGGACCGCGCCAAGGAAAACUGAAUCAAGGAGCAUGCGCUCGGGGCCGUCGCAACGRCGCGCCCGCGAGUCGCACCCCUGCGAUAGCAAUACAACGACUCUCGGCAACGGAUAUCUCGGCUCUCGCAUCGAUGAAGAACGCAGCGAAAUGCGAUACCUGGUGUGAAUUGCAGAAUCCCGUGAAUCAUCGAGUCUUUGAACGCAAGUUGCGCCCGAGGCCUUUAGGCCGAGGGCACGCCUGCCUGGGCGUCACGCGAUCCGUCGCCCCACGGCCACGCACCCCUUCAGGAACGGGCCGGUCGGGGCGGAUGUUGGCCUCCCGUGCGUCGCCGCACGGUUGGUUGAAAAAGAGGCAGCCCGCGUCGCACGACACUCGGCGGUUGGUGGAUGACACUAGUUUCUGUCCCAUCGCCCCGUCGGCGCGUCGCGCGGAACUGCGCCGACCCUCGGACGUCGCCCGCCUCGGCGGACGCCGAUUCCUCUUGCGACCCC
RNAcentral lists this unclassified non-coding RNA (616 nucleotides) under Phragmanthera usuiensis. RNAcentral's name for it is "sequence contains ITS1, 5.8S rRNA gene, ITS2". The stretch from base 221 to 376 matches the Rfam family "5.8S ribosomal RNA". The record is from RNAcentral. Lineage: Eukaryota; Viridiplantae; Streptophyta; Magnoliopsida; Santalales; Loranthaceae.